Molecule: long non-coding RNA, 459 nt
Organism: Megalobrama amblycephala (Wuchang bream)
Lineage: Eukaryota; Metazoa; Chordata; Actinopteri; Cypriniformes; Xenocyprididae
Exons: 3
Source: RefSeq, a predicted model, not a curated record
UGCUGCCAUCAUCUGAUCCUUAAGAAAAGAAGGAGCGGACAUUAGCAUGUGCAAAGCAUCAGUGAUUUGUGUGGGAAUCACAGCAGUUUUCAGAAGAAUCUCACUUCAGUGCUGUGAAUGCAAAAGGUUGUGUGCAGUUGUGGGAGCAGAGCUGUGGACGUCACAGGAGAAGCCCAGAAGCCCAGACGGGUAUCAGCUUUAGCGUGAGAGAACAGCCCGACCUUUCAGCUCAGAGAGUCCCGGACACAUACAGCGUGAGGUAUAGGGUUCUGGAGAGAGCCUAUAGAUACCUACAGUGUCUCUUUACAGUCAGUCAACUUCUCAAGUUGAUUUCAGGCCAUGACGCUGCGUACAACACUUUACAAGUAAAUGUUUCUUACUCUUUCUUGGAGAAAGUGGAAAUCAUUAUGAAGGAAUUUUGGUGAAAGAAUCUGUUAUACAACAGAGAUUCUUCUACUU